AUACGGAGGAUCCUAGUGUUAUCCGGAUUUAUUGGGUUUAAAGGGUGCGUAGGCGGUUUGCCAAGCGGGAGGUGAAAUGCCGGCGCUCAACGUCGGAAGUGCCUCCCGAACUGGUGGACUUGAAUGACUCUGCCGUGGGAGGAAUGGGUAGUGUAGCGGUGAAAUGCUUAGAGAUUACACAGAACACCGAUUGCGAAGGCAUCUCACGAAGGGUUGAUUGACGCUGAGGCACGAAAGCGUGGGGAUCAAACAGGAUUAGAUACCCUGGUAGUCCACGCAGUAAACGAUGAUGGCUAACCGCUGGUUUAUUCGGAUCAGUGGCCAAGCGAAAGCGAUAAGCCAUCCACCUGGGGAGUACGACCGCAAGGUUGAAACUCAAAGGAAUUGACGGGG
RNAcentral lists this ribosomal RNA (393 nucleotides) under uncultured bacterium. RNAcentral describes it as "partial 16S ribosomal RNA". It matches the Rfam family "Bacterial small subunit ribosomal RNA", at positions 523 to 918 of the family's 1533-position model. The record is from RNAcentral.